RNAcentral lists this ribosomal RNA (207 nucleotides) under uncultured bacterium. Its description in RNAcentral is "partial 16S ribosomal RNA". It matches the Rfam family "Bacterial small subunit ribosomal RNA", at positions 568 to 774 of the family's 1533-position model. The record is from RNAcentral.
CGCGUAGGCGGUUUGUUUAGUUAGGCGUGAAAUUCCUGGGCUUAACCUGGGGACUGCGCUUAAUACAGGCAGACUUGAGUUCGGAAGGGGGUCGUGGAAUUCCCAGUGUAGAGGUGAAAUUCGUAGAUAUUGGGAAGAACACCGGUGGCGAAGGCGGCGACCUGGUCCGAUACUGACGCUGAGGCGCGAAAGCGUGGGGAGCAAACA